RNAcentral lists this long non-coding RNA (456 nucleotides) under Helianthus annuus (common sunflower). Its description in RNAcentral is "sRNA HanXRQr2_Chr03g0095551". Lineage: Eukaryota; Viridiplantae; Streptophyta; Magnoliopsida; Asterales; Asteraceae. The record is from RNAcentral.
UAUGGUUCGUCUACAUCCCACCUCCGUAGGUGGGAUUUUGCUGAGUAUGGUUGUUGUUAGAUAUUUUCAAUACUUUUAUAUUUUCUAUACAAACUUAAUGCUUCUCUUAUAGGUGGUAGAUAUAGUCCACAUUGCACAUCCUACUCAGAUUAACAGGUGUACUCUUCAUUAUACGCACACUAGAAUUUUAGUCAUCGUAUAAAGUUAAUGGCCGCAAGGGGCGUACAGAUGAGGUUAAACCAUACACCAAAGCAUCAGGUGCCAUGAUAUUACUAAAACUAAUAAAGGUGUGGUCUAUUUAAUCUUUAGAUGGAUGAACAUGAGGAUCUCUAGUAAAGGGCUGAAGAUGUACUCAUGCACCAAUGGUUACUCCAUCUAGCUCACGAUCCUGCUAAUAGGCCUGUAUUUGAGGUCCGGCUAGUACAGGUUUCUGCAACAACUGAUGGCAGCUCUGAU